Molecule: unclassified non-coding RNA, 375 nt
Filed under: Hevea brasiliensis (rubber tree)
Lineage: Eukaryota; Viridiplantae; Streptophyta; Magnoliopsida; Malpighiales; Euphorbiaceae
Source: RNAcentral
GCACUGGAAAUAAAGAAAUCACCAAUCAAGUAAGCCAAAAACAUAUUGAAGGUUGAAUAGCCAAGAAUUAGGAUGAAAGAAAUGAAAUGACUCAAACAUUACACAUGAUGUACCAUAUAAUUACUGCUUCCAGACACUGCAUAUAUAUAUACAACAAAAAUACAUGGCAUUUCUUCCAACUAUAACUUUGAGAAUCAGAUUUGCUAUACAAUUUACAUCCUUCCAAGAUAAAUUCACAACAAAUCUACAAAGCACAUAUGAGCAUCCCUCAGUAUUUGAAUCCAUGCAGAUAACUAUGUAAUGUAAUUUGCCAUGGUUUGCCUUUGCAUACACAAGAAACAAGCUAGUAUCUAAUUUUGACCAACAAGAACCACA